Long non-coding RNA from Rhipicephalus sanguineus (brown dog tick), 370 nucleotides. RefSeq lists it as uncharacterized. The record is from RefSeq and is a predicted model, not a curated record. Lineage: Eukaryota; Metazoa; Arthropoda; Arachnida; Ixodida; Ixodidae. The transcript is spliced from 3 exons.
UAAGGCGCAACUUCUUAUCUUCAGCAAAUUGUGCUUGUCAUUCAUAAAAGUUUGCCAGCCUUUAACUACAGCAUCGGCUGGAAGUCGCGGUUCAGUGGCUUUGCGAGUCCUAUGAAGGUAGCCGUUGAACAACUUUGGAAGCAGGGACCACCGCGUACCAGUUCGUCACUCAUUUCCCCGCCAGGUCCACGCAUCCAGGUUGCCGUCCUAAGGACUUCGGGAUUGGCGUCGCAUUCGUAGUGGACAUGCAAGCACUUGAGCUGUGGUAGGCUCCGCAAGAUGCAAGUCAUAGAACUGGGUAACUCUCGUUCGUCGAGACGCGUGUACAACAGGAGGUACAAGUACUGGAGGUCGGUGAAGCGGUGCAGAU